GCUGAUGUAGCUCAGUUGGUAGAGCAACUGAUUCGUAAUCAGUAGGUCGACGGUUCGAUUCCGCCCAUCAGCA
Molecule: transfer RNA, 73 nt
Organism: Herbaspirillum seropedicae SmR1
Lineage: Bacteria; Pseudomonadati; Pseudomonadota; Betaproteobacteria; Burkholderiales; Oxalobacteraceae
Rfam family: tRNA
About the family: Transfer RNA (tRNA) molecules are approximately 80 nucleotides in length.
Source: Rfam